AUUAAUUCUGGCAACCCCCUUCCGCCUUUCCCUUUGCGCGAAAUAAAAACCUCGCUGAAGUUCCGUAAGUUGGACUGUGACACCAGCAAUGGAUGGUUUUACUUGGGAGGUAGUAAAUGUUACAAAGUAUUCGCGGGGAAUAACCGAAGAGCCUAUGCCAGGGCAAAAGAUAUAUGUGUGAGCUAUGGAUCUCGACUAGCAACAAUCAAAGACCAGUUUGAAUCUGACAGUCUCGGUAGUAAAGUCAGUCAGCUUGUUCCAGAG
Dreissena polymorpha is the source of this 264-nucleotide long non-coding RNA. RefSeq lists it as uncharacterized. The record is from RefSeq and is a predicted model, not a curated record. Lineage: Eukaryota; Metazoa; Mollusca; Bivalvia; Myida; Dreissenidae. The transcript is spliced from 3 exons.